GUGCCACCCAGCGCUGCAGAGAGCUGCAUGCUCGGUCGAAGAGGAUGACCUUCCCCGAUAGAGGAGAGGACCAUUCUUCAGUCAAGGGUAUACGAGUAGCUGCGCUCCCCUGCUAGA
Callorhinus ursinus (northern fur seal) is the source of this 117-nucleotide non-coding RNA. The record is from RefSeq and is a predicted model, not a curated record. Lineage: Eukaryota; Metazoa; Chordata; Mammalia; Carnivora; Otariidae.